UACGGAGGGUGCAAGCGUUAUCCGGAUUCACUGGGCUUAAAGGGUGCGUAGGAGGGCAGGUAAGUCAGUGGUGAAAUCCCCGAGCUUAACUUGGGAACUGCCGUUGAUACUAUCUGUCUUGAAUGUUGUGGAGGUGAGCGGAAUAUGUCAUGUAGCGGUGAAAUGCUUAGAUAUGACAUAGAACACCAAUUGCGAAGGCAGCUCGCUACACAAUUAUUGACUCUGAGGCACGAAAGCGUGGGGAGCAAACAGG
RNAcentral lists this ribosomal RNA (253 nucleotides) under uncultured bacterium. Its description in RNAcentral is "partial 16S ribosomal RNA". It matches the Rfam family "Bacterial small subunit ribosomal RNA", at positions 524 to 776 of the family's 1533-position model. The record is from RNAcentral.